Molecule: long non-coding RNA, 2485 nt
Filed under: Gallus gallus (chicken)
Lineage: Eukaryota; Metazoa; Chordata; Aves; Galliformes; Phasianidae
Source: RNAcentral
CGGGUCUGCGUGGGGCGGCCUCGCCUCACGGCCUUCCCGUGCUACCCCCGUGCCCGGGAGAUGCCCGCACGUCUCCCCGGGCCCGCCUGAUGCCCAAGAGACGACCCCCGGCCCGCCCCGCCUCUCGCUGAGAUAAUAAACACGGGUCUCUCAACGCCGCCGGAGAAACCUGGGCUGAUAUCAGGAAAUACCCGAAAGUGAUAAACGAACUCCUCCGAUUGUUCUUUCUCCAGGCAGUACCCCGGCCGAGCCGCCAGAUGUCAGCACGAGGCUUUGUGCCUCGCUCCGCUCUCAGUGACUGCUCCAGUCGCCAAAUAGCACGAAGCUUUCCCGUACAAUCCCAGGCCCUGCUUCAGCCCAUCCGCCUCUCCCGCUCAGAAGGUAUUUCCUAAUAACAAUUCAGGGAAUUUUAUGCUACAAACUGAGGUUGUCUGAAUAUUUCUCCUCUAUCUGACUCUCCAGCCAGCCUCUCAGGAUAUCGUAGUGACUAAAUCACAACUGACCUAGGCUAAGGGAGCUGUGGAAGUUAGAAGUUGUAACACGUUUACAUUCCGUGGCUAUACAUUGGUCAAAGGGUGGAUACAUUAAAAGAUUCUAGACUUAAAUUUACAUUCCUAUCACUGCACAAACUGUCUUUCCUCUGUAAUGUGUGUACUGUAGUAACCAAUCACACAUUCACAUUGAUGUUUUUUUGUAGUCACAGGACAAGAUAAACCUGGCUGUAAAUGGACUGUUGCAGCUGUUAUUCUUAGCUGUGUUCACCUAUGCUUUGUUUCUUUAUGUUCCUUUUCACUGUUUUUCCCUACACGUACCUGAACAUAAGUAGGAUUCCUUACAGACUUUUUUGGAAGUAUAUGAUGAGCAACCAUUGAGAUUGGAUGGAAAGCAUCAGCAGCACCAGGAAACUCUUGGCAUAUGGAUAGUCUGAAUUGCUUCUGCAUGGGAUCCAGUGUGGGGAAUGCUCUGAAUCACUGUAACAGAGGUAUAAACACGGGACUUACAGGAAUAUGCCUGUAUUCAGAUAACAGAUCUGAAUGGUUUUGUUCCUAGUGCGGCCAGGGGAAAACUCCUACUGGUUUCUGCAUUGCUCUGCUUUGCAUUGUGUAAAUUAGGUAAUGGACAGAUAAAUAAUCGGUUUUCUAAGUGUUAUUUUGAACUGUUCUUUUGAGGCUGGAACCUGCCAAGCCUUCCCACAUCAUGCUGUAGCAUAAAGGGCUCUUAAUGCUCCCAUCGUCGUUAAUUACAUUAGUAAUUAAGGACGAAUGGAGCUGCAGGCUCUGCUGUUUUGGGCCCUGCACAAACAAAGCAGUAAUGUAAGUGGCAGUCCCUGUCUUGGAGAGCUUCAGACUAAAUGACAAAGAUGGGUGGAAAAAAUCUACCAGAAAUAUCUGGAAUGCAGUUUACUUUUUCUCUUGAGCCCCAUCCACGUGAAUCUUAAUGAUUUAUUCACGGGUUUUGAUAUUGUUGAUUCUGAUGUGCCAUCCUAAUACAGAACUUGCAUUUCUGGCCUGUACCUUUCAAUAACCAGUUAUGUGUUUUUUGUCUUUCAGCGGGGACAGGUUUCCCUGCCCGUGCUGGUGUAACAGGUUUGCCUUGUUCCCCUCCCAGGUCUUUGUGCAAAAGGAAAUUCCACUGCAAAUUUGCCUCAGAUGAUAGCAGUGCUGCUUUGUGCUUGGACUCUGUGCAGUCUUUUUGUUCAGCUGUUCAUGGAUUAAGGUCUCAAAGAGUUGUGAUGCAAUUAUGUUCUCUGGUUUUAUAACGUGUUCUGGGUGAACACAAGGCUAGGGAAGGACAGCAGCCCCUGGUAUCCUUCUGCUGAGAGCCUGUGGAGGUAGAAGCCCUUGGGAUGAUGUGGUUGUGCUUUAGGCAGGAUGGCAUGCUCAGAUAUUCAAAUACAUUGGCAACAGCAGGAAGAAGUACUCCGUGAAAUGAGUUGAACAGCCUCUCUUAGUUGUGAUGUAGUCCUUUAAAGAUAUCAGUGCUUAGUGGUGAACAAAAGCAAUGCCUGCUCUGUGUCUCACAUCAAGGGUAGCAGCAUUCCACUCUUAAGCCCAAACCAGUGGGGAUAAAAUGAGAUGCAGUUGCAUUAUUAGCAUCAUGCCCAGCCUCACUGUUCUGAAUGUUGGAAUCACUUCAGUUAUCCUUUUGUUUUUUCCUCAUGCAGGUUGAUAUCCAGAUGCCAUCCAGUGAAAGGGGAAGUGCAUGAAUCCAGGGGAGGCAAUGCAUGCAGCAGCUGCGCAGCUAUCAGAUCCCAGCCCUCUGCGAGCAGAAUCUGUCCUCCUCAGGGGAGUAAAUUUGCUCCCCCCACGUAAGUCUUUCAUGAACAGAUGCAGCAAUAAACACAAAACAGGAAUCUGAAGGUCUUUUCACGUUUCUUGUAGCUGAAAAGCAGAAGUACCAAAUCACAUUAGGUGACGCAGCUCAAAUAAACGCUGUUGCAAAGGAAGAAGAGCACAAAAUCAAUCUUAUUUCUCCAGCCGGGAAA